GAUGAACGCUGGCGGCGUGCUUAACACAUGCAAGUCGAACGGAAAGGCCCUGCUUUUGUUUCUUUCUCGUUUGCCGAACGCGUGUGUAUCACGUGAGUAACCUCCCCUUGACUUUCUGAUAACUUCACGAAACUCGGUCUAUUAUCGCAUAUGAUCUCCUGCUGCAUGGUGUGCGUUGGAAAGUUUCGGAGGUUGGGGAUGUACUCGAGGCUUAUCAGCUUCUUGGUGGGGUAGUUGCUUACCAAGGCUAUGACGGGUAGCCGGCCUGGGAGGGUUACCGGCCACAAUGGGACUGAGAUACGGCGCAGACUCGUACGUGAGGCAGCAGUGGGGAGUAUGGCACAAUGGGCGGAAGCGUGAGGUAGCAACGCCGCGAGCGGGAUGACGGCCUUCGGGUGGAAAACAGAUGUCGACUGUGACGAAGAGUGAGUGACGGUAAUGGGUAAAGAAGCAACGGCUAACUACGUG
RNAcentral lists this ribosomal RNA (468 nucleotides) under uncultured bacterium. Its description in RNAcentral is "partial 16S ribosomal RNA". It matches the Rfam family "Bacterial small subunit ribosomal RNA", at positions 28 to 507 of the family's 1533-position model. The record is from RNAcentral.